UAGUCCAUACCGUCAACUAUGAGAGCUCAUCUUAGAAAAACUGAGAUUUAGUUAACACGUUAAGCUCUUCGCCAGGGAAGUACGAUUGCAAGGUUAAAACUCAAAGGAAUUGACGGGAAUCCAUACAAACGGUGGAGCAUGUGGUUUAAUUCGAAGCAACGCGCAGAACCUUACCAGCCUUUGACAUCCUAGGACGGUUUCUGGAGACAGACUCCUUCCCUUCGGGGACCUAGUGACAGGUGCUGCAUGGCUGUCGUCAGCUCGUGUCGUGAGAUGUUGGGUUAAGUCCCGCAACGAGCGCAACCCUCAUCCUUAGUUGCCAUCAUUUAGUUGGGCACUUUAAGGAAACUGCCGGUGAUAAGCCGGAGGAAGGUGGGGAUGACGUCAAGUCCUCAUGGCCCUUACAGGCUGGGCUACGACACGUGCUACAAUGGUAUCUACAGUGAGCAGCGAUCCCGCAAGGGUUAGCUAAUCUCCAAAAGAUAUCUCAGUUCGGAUUGUUCU
This 504-nucleotide ribosomal RNA is filed under the name uncultured bacterium. RNAcentral describes it as "bacterial SSU rRNA". It matches the Rfam family "Bacterial small subunit ribosomal RNA", at positions 791 to 1304 of the family's 1533-position model. The record is from RNAcentral.